UCCAAAUCACUAAUUAUCUAGCGAACGAAUGUCAUCACUAUAUCGAAGAAGGUGGUUCGGGUCAUAUCUUCAUAUGCUUGGCAUUUUGCUAUGAUGUAGUCGGCACUAGCUCUAAUCCUUCCUCAGAUUUUACCCUUCUCCUGAAGUAGCCGCCCGAUUUGCUGAUUUCUGGCUUCUAACACUUGAAUAUCGUGGUGGUUUUGAUUUUGCAACUGUUGUAUUUCCUCCUCCAUCCCAGCCAUUAGAGCAUAAUAAUGUUCUCUGUCAGCUGUAAAGUCCUUGUCCUGUUUAGCCAUCUUGCUUUCGAGGUUGCUAAUCUCCUUUUUCUAACCAGCGACCCCUCUUUCAUACCUUUCUUUCAUCUGUUGAACGAAAAUUGCUUGCCCCUCGUCAUUUUUAGCCAACCUUGCUUGGACUUUUCUAGCUCAGACUCAGCUUUCUACAGGUCAUCUUCGUAGUCAUGCACCUGUGAGGUUAUAAAUGAGCAUUUCAUCUUUACUGCUUCUGCCCAGUUUCCCGACUGCUAUUUUCAGCUGUUGAACUUGGUCUUUGAGAUCUUCGUUUUCUUGGACCAAUCUUUUCCUUUCACCCUCAGCCUCUUGCGCCUGUAAAUCAUAGUCGAAGUGGUAUUUCUCAACUCUUCUCGCAAAUUAUGAAUGCUGGCUUGAUAUUUC
This 674-nucleotide long non-coding RNA is filed under the name Nicotiana benthamiana. RNAcentral describes it as "long non-coding RNA (NBEN_LNC037907)". The record is from RNAcentral. Lineage: Eukaryota; Viridiplantae; Streptophyta; Magnoliopsida; Solanales; Solanaceae.